AAAAAGACAAACCCUAGAUUUCCGUGUCCAAUGUUUGAUUGUCCGUCUUAUAUGAAUUUUUUUAUAAUUAGUAUUUUUAUUGUGGUUAGAUGAUAAAACAUGAUUAAUACUUUAUGCGUGAUUUGUCUUUUUAUUUUUUUUUCAUAAUUUUUAAAAAUUAAACGGACGGUCAAACGUUGGACACGGAAACCCGGG
RNAcentral lists this microRNA precursor (195 nucleotides) under Oryza barthii. RNAcentral's name for it is "MIR812 microRNA precursor family". It matches the Rfam family "MIR812 microRNA precursor family". Lineage: Eukaryota; Viridiplantae; Streptophyta; Magnoliopsida; Poales; Poaceae. The record is from Rfam by way of RNAcentral.